AGCUUUGCACGGUGGCAGUAUUGUAGCCAAUGAGAGUUAUCCAAGGUACAAUUAUUGCUAAUUAAAAUUUUGACAUGUUGGAAUUUAAGUUAAUAUUUAUGUUUACAGAUAUGCGUUGUCUG
This 122-nucleotide small nuclear RNA is filed under the name Mus musculus (house mouse). RNAcentral's name for it is "U4 spliceosomal RNA". It matches the Rfam family "U4 spliceosomal RNA". Rfam says of the family: U4 small nuclear RNA (U4 snRNA) is a component of the major U2-dependent spliceosome. The structure of U4 snRNA from yeast and human has been reported. The record is from Rfam by way of RNAcentral. Lineage: Eukaryota; Metazoa; Chordata; Mammalia; Rodentia; Muridae.